CCUACGGGUGGCAGCAGUGAGGAAUAUUGAGCAAUGGGCGCAAGCCUGACUCAGCAACGCCGCGUGGGCGAUGAAGGCCUUCGGGUUGUAAAGCCCUUUUCUGGGGGACGAGGAAGGACGGUACCCCAGGAAUAAGUCACGGCUAACUACGUGCCAGCAGCCGCGGUAACACGUAGGUGGCGAGCGUUAUCCGGAUUCACUGGGCGUAAAGCGCGUGCAGGCGGUUCCGUAAGUCGGACGUGAAAGCUCCUGGCUUAACUGGGAGAGGCCGUUCAAUACUGCGGGACUUGAGGUCGGGAGAGGGACGUGGAAUUCCCGGUGUAGUGGUGGAAUGCGUAGAUAUCGGGAGGAACACCAGUGGCGAAGGCGGCAUCCUGGCUCAUAACUGACGCUGAGUCGCGAAAGCGUGGGGAUCAAACAGGAUUAGAUACCCUGGUAGU
This 440-nucleotide ribosomal RNA is filed under the name uncultured Anaerolineae bacterium. Its description in RNAcentral is "partial 16S ribosomal RNA". It matches the Rfam family "Bacterial small subunit ribosomal RNA", at positions 338 to 794 of the family's 1533-position model. Lineage: Bacteria; Bacillati; Chloroflexota; Anaerolineae. The record is from RNAcentral.